Molecule: ribosomal RNA, 254 nt
Filed under: uncultured bacterium
Lineage: Bacteria
Description: partial 16S ribosomal RNA
Rfam family: Bacterial small subunit ribosomal RNA
Source: RNAcentral
UACGGAGGGGGCUAGCGUUGUUCGGAAUUACUGGGCGUAAAGGGCGCGUAGGCGGCGCGAUAAGUUGGGCGUGAAAGGCCCGGGCUCAACCCGGGGACUGCGCUUGAUACUGUCGCGCUGUGAGUCCGGGAGAGGAUGGCGGAAUUCCCAGUGUAGAGGUGAAAUUCGUAGAUAUUGGGAAGAACACCGGUGGCGAAGGCGGGUCUCUGGGCAACAACUGACGCUGAGGAGCGAAAGCGUGGGGAGCGAACAGG